Clupea harengus (Atlantic herring) is the source of this 490-nucleotide long non-coding RNA. The record is from Ensembl. Lineage: Eukaryota; Metazoa; Chordata; Actinopteri; Clupeiformes; Clupeidae.
GUGUGUGUGUGUGUGUGUGUGUGUGUGUGUGUGUAGAACCUGUGUGUGUGUGUGAGUGUGUAAGUGUGAGUGUGUGUGAGUGAGUGCACAAAAGGUGAACAUGCAAGACAAAUGAUUUAACUGACUUUGAACGAGGAACGAUGGUGGAUUCUGGCUGCACUGCCAUGAAUUAUGACAAGAAUGGCAAUGCGCUGGGAGUGUGCUAAUGCGUGGCAAUGUCACCGGGAUGUCAAGACAAACUGCCAGCUGGCGGUCCUUUCGGGGUCACAGACAGGAAACCAUUACUUGACUUCUAAAAUGAUGUACUCAUGUGCAAGCCCCAGCUCCUCUCUCACGGGCAGUUCCCUAUCUCCCUGAAGGGAAGGGCUAAUGCAAGCGACACUCUCCAGCUUUAAAUCAGGCAGAAGAUAGAAAUCCAGAUGGGUCAUCAUGCAGCUGUUGUUGGAGACCCUGUCCCUGACAAUAAAUAAAGCUAAAGUUCAAAAGCCUG